UGCAGUUCUCUGAGAGUGAUCCUGGUGACCCUGAGCUUGAUAUGUCAUCUAUUUCCUCUUCACUACAAGCAGAAGAGCCAUCAGUUCCAGCAACCUUUUGUCCAACUUCUAGCCUUUGGUUAUCAUGAGCCAAGACAAGCGGCUUCACAUCAGAAGGUAACUUGGCCAGUAGAAAGCUUUGAGUUUCUUUGUUGGCGUGUUUUGGGAUAUAGUCGUUCAGACUCCCCUUAAUCCUCCAUCUUGAUCCACAAGCAUUGCACAGCACUGGCUUUUCAGGUGGUCCAGGUCUCCAAAGUGGAGUAUCUGUUUAAGUUCACAGUUCAUCAGCGCUGAAACUAUGAAACAACUAUAAAGGAAUUCUCUACAGCUGAUAAAGUUGUCCCAGAAACUGCUCAAGCAUAGAAUAAUUGAAAACAACUAUGAACAUAGAGCAAUAAAUCAGAAGUAUUAUGAAACUAAAGCUACAGCGAUUUUUUGGCAAAACCAGUGGAAAGCGCAUCCAUGUAAGAUAUGCCUCGACUUUUAAGAAUAUGUAAAAGAAAGUUUGUCCUUUGCAUUUUCUUCACCAGUUAAAGGACCCAUACAAAUUGAGGUAAACGGUGGUCGACAAAUGAUUAAAUGAAUAUGAAUCAUGAAGUAAAAUGAGUAAAGACAAUAGGUCUUGUUCAAAUCAGGAAACAUCAGAGAUUUGCACUGUAAAAAAGCUCAUGGAUUGACGCUUCACGGCCGUCAUAGACUGUCCACUUUGUCCUAAUUAACUGUGAAGAUAUAUUUUUCAGACUGCUGGCUUUGUCCUAAUUAACUGUGAAGAUAGGAUGCCUUACACUCAUCAUAAACAGACUCGCAGAUUGAGGCUUCAUAGCCUUCUUGUCCAUCAAAUACUGUAUCCAAACAAGCAUGAUGACAUACCCUUCUUCUACAUAAGUGUUAGAGAUAUUCGUAGAAUCUUGGACUAACUUUGGAGGGAGAGCAAGAAAAGAUCGCUAUGCAAUUUGGAUAUCACAAAUUAUCGAGAAAGACUAUACUUGUUUGAAGUAUUUUAUUGGCUUUAUGUAUUCCUCUUCCUUACAUAAUGGUGGCAAUCUCUAUUUCUAUUACGAAUCUGUUGCUUUAUAUGUGUUACUAGUUAUGCGUUUGCUUCAGGAGGCCAGUAUUUUGACUGCACUCGAUAUCGAGAACACAGGCGUUAUAGUGGGUAAUUCUCACUUUUCAUUUUAAAUUUUUCCCUCUUGGCCAUCCAACUUAUGUCACUAGAGAUUCUAGUCUACUGCCUUGGUUUAGUUCGUGUCAUAUAACAUGGCUUUCUGAAAAUGCUUAGUGUCAAAUCAUUCAUUGGCUAAUCAAAUUUGGCUGCUCAAAGAGAUUUUAAGGAAGAGCUAUGGAACCAGUUUUGCAACUGCAUUUUACUGCCUAAUAUUUCUUAGGAUUUUGUGUAUAAAGCAUGAAACAAGCUGUCAAUACAUAUUGACUUUAGUUUAAUGCUUUCUUAGUGUAUGGCAAAGCUACUGGCGAGGUGGUACUUUGAUUUCAUCUCUUACCUCUAAUGAUACAAGUUCUUAUGAUUUCACUUCCUGCAGGAUUCCUAAGGGAUACAUACCUAUCAGGAGACCACAUGUUCAAAGGUAAUAAAACAAUGUAAUCAAUGUCAAUCUGGUAUCAGUUGGUCCCUUUCCAUCCUUUUCUUUUUGGGAAAAAUAAUAUAUUUCCAGAUAUAUGCCUAGGUCUUGUUAAUCGAAACACUGAACAAAGACUUAUUCCUGUAAGAACAUCAAAAGCUGGUUAAAAUGCCGAUGCACUCUCCAACCAUGAUCAGCGAACAUUUGGUAAUUACACUUUAUACUUCACACUUCUUAUACUGUGGUCUUUGAGUUUUAAAUAUUGACUGAGGGCAUUAUUGUAAAGUUAUAUGUCAAUAAACAAUAGCAUGAAAAUCGCAUGUGCACAUUCAGUACUUUCUCCUCUGUGUCUGUGGCACUCUCAUUUCAUUUUCUGUUAGGCAAAACCCCGGAAACUGCUACAAUUAAGACUUAAGGAUCAUUGCCAAAAGUUUAAAUAAAUGGGAAUAAAUAGUGUGAUGCAUAUGAUUGGGGACCGACUGUGCAAUUAUCCUAUAUGAAUUCACUGCACGUGAAACUAAUGGUUGCUGUAUCUGAAAUCAACUGCUAUUUGAGUGGAGAGGUAACAAAGUUAAAGAAGUUCCAUUUUAUUCAUCCAAACAGAUAAAUCGUUUUAGGAAAUUCUAAAUAUCGGGUGUCAUGCAUGCAAGUUUUAAAUUCCAGUAAGAUCAGAGAGAAAAAUUAAGCAUUUGAAAUUCUGUAUCUUGACGAUUGAUAUCAACAAGAAACAUUCAAUUGAAGAACGAGAUGGAAGAUAAACAUGCAAGAUGUGAUAAAGGUUGUCAAAAGAACUCACGCCUGACACCACAAUGGAAACACGGCCCUUCUCUUCCCAUGAGAUGUGCUUGCAGAGGAUUCAGGUUUGACUAUGCUGUUGCUAACCGUUAAGCUUCCAAAAUUGUUGCCAGAAUUUAAAACAUAUGAGUGAGAACACAAAGUAACCAAAUGGAAAAAGGAACUGAAAAUAAAUUCAGUAGGCUAACAGCUGAUCGUUUCCGUGGCAAUAGAUUAUAGCUUUGUCAUUAACUACUAUCCUAUUUGCAAUAGUACCAUACUCCACUUUGGACAGCUCAUCAAAUUUUACUCGAGAACAUUUUCUCAAAAAUUGACACGAUAACUCCAACAGGAAGAACUUAAAAGCUCUUAGAUGUGGUAAAUCUUACCAAUUAGGCCUUUUGUCAAGCACUCAAGCCUUAUUACCGAUGAAUCUGAAGGCAAGAAACUAUAGAAAGUUUUUAGACUUUAUUUAAAUGAUAGAGUUGAGCAAAUAACAGAGGCGAAAAGACAAUGCUGAUCUUAGUAUUCUGGAAAUUCUGGUCUGAUUGAGAUUUGAAAAAUCCAAGGAGAAAGGGCCACAAAUUACAUUACUAAACAGAUUCAGAAAAGAAAGAAUGUAUUCAAUUUCAUUCCAAUUCUGGAAAUUGUAGGAAUCAGAUUUAGAUUUGAAAAAUCCAAGGAGAAAGGCUCACUAUUACAUCACUUAGCAGAUUCGGAAAUGCAUUCUGUUUCUUUCCAAUUCUGCAUUUCUGCACUGUUUCCCCUGCACCAAUACACAGGUUGAAAAACCUUUCUGCCUAGUUUUGUGAUUGGUCUGGUUGAGAGUACUGCAGGUGGAUACAGGUCACAGAGACUUAGAUAUACAUUCAUAUUUGGUAACGAAACCUCAUUUCUUGAAGCACAUUCAGAAAACAUAAAUAUAAGCACUGAGUUGGUUUUUUCCGUGUUAAUUUUCAGAAAAUUUAAUUGCUGAUACUGUUGGGUCAUGUUUGGGAUUCGAUUGUCUAUUUUCGUCUUCUUGAGCUGAGGGUCUCUCGGAAACAACCUCUCUACCUCUCCAGGGUAGGGGUAAGGUCUGCGUACAUUCUACCCUACCCAGACCCCACUUGUGGGAUUUUACUGGGUUGUUGUUGUUGGGUCAUGUUCACUCAGCUAUCUGCAGUUUGCAAAUGCUUGUGUCUUAGGGACUUCCUGAACUUGAAGGUUCUCUCUUCUGCUUGGCAUUUUUGUUGUUAAUUUAAGAGGAACUUACUACAACUUCUGAUGUCCCAAGAAGUGCUUCUGCAAUCUUUUUCCGUAACGCGAUAUCAGUGGCGGAGCCACCUUACAGGAAGGGGUGUCAAAUGACACCCCUUCGCGGGAAAAAUUCACCGUGUAGCUAGGUAAAAAAAUAAUUAUAUGUAUAUGUACUAUGUAUUGACUCCCCUUAAUGUUUUGGUAUGCUUACUUUUAUAUAUUUUGACACCCCUUAACGAAAAUUCUGGCUCCGCCACUGCGCGAUAUGACUCAUCUGCGCAAGAAUGCCCCUGCUGUUGAGAUGCUAUUCAAUUACGAAUCUGUGCUUAGUUUAACACAGUCAUGUAUGUCUCCGUUUUCGAAACUUCAUGCAUCUAGCAUAUUCAUGUUAUUAAUGUUGUUUCUCUAACUUGCUUACAGAAAUAAGAAUAUUUAUUUCAGAAAUGCAUUACAUAUCCAUGCUAUACAGAGAAGAUUGAUAUUUUUGCCUGCUCAUUUGGCAUAGCAUGAUCCUUUACAGAAUCUUUAAGUGAAGCACUUCCAAAAUUUUGAUAUAUUUUGGUAAUAACCUCCGCUGCAUGUAAGGGUGGCAAGUGGAUCGGUCCGGGCCCGGGACCGUUGGCCUAGUGGGCUAAGUGGGCCGGGACCGGUAGGACCACUAGAGGUGGGCUUGGGCCGGUUCUUGCCUUUGAACCGUUAGGACCGGGUAAAUGAAAAUAGCCAACGGUUAUUUUNAAAAAUAACCGUUGGCUAUUUUCAUUUAACCCCAAACUUUUUAUAAUUACAUCUUUUCCUUAUUUUCAACUAUAAAUACCCCCUCAUUCUUUCAUUUUUCUUACAAUAUCAAUAUCAAUCUAUCACAAUCUCAUUCCAUAGGGGGAGGAAGACUAAGAAAGAUAUUACCAUAUUUUUUUAAUGCUAUAAUAAAAUUACAAGGCAUUGCUUUGAAUAUCUCUUUACAAUAUUUUUGUCUUUAAAUUUGAAUUAAAAAAUUUAGGUCACAAUUCUAUAAUAAAUUUACAAGGUAUUGCAUUAGAUAUUUUUUUAACAUUUUUUUGCCUCUAAUUUCUAUUUAAAUUUUUUUUUUAAAAUCAAUUUUUAACCGUUGGGCCCACGGGCCUGGCCCGUUUAGCCCGGGACCAUGAGUUCGUGGGCCCGGUUCCGGACCGGUUCCUACAAAAAGACCGUUUAGUCCGGGAUCGUUAAGCCCAUUUAUUUAAGGACCGACCCGGGACCACGGCCCACUUGGCCCGCUUAGGGCCCAGACCGACCCACAUGCCACCCCUAGCUGCAUGUAUGGAGAAACUUAAGUCUUGUGGUUCUUAACAAUUUAGGCUACUAUCUCAGAAGUUAAGAAGCUCUUUAUCACAGAAUUGGUGUCGUUCAUCCUUGGUAGCAAAAAUGUGUUUGUCCUUGUUUGCCUGAUUUAGAAAAGUUAGGAUUCAGGCGAAUAAUUGUCUGAAGUGUAUGCUGUAGGUCUGACCUACUACAACUUUGUAGCUACAAAUUCAAUUUGGUGUACGUGGGGCAGUUAUGAAUGACUAUGCCAUUGAGUAUGAUUUGAACUAACUCCAAAGCGAAGGUGGGAAAUGAGGAAAUUUUAUCAUCCAUGUUAUGUGUUAUCCAGAUGUCUUUCUUAUGGUGCUUACUCUAUAUUUCAUCAUAUGCUUAUGCAAUGUGGAUUUGCAGCGUUUGACGAAGUUCCUCUGCACAUUCUCCAUCGGGUUCCUGCCCAGCUUCAAGGUAGUGUAUUUUCCAGAACUAAUACAAUGUGCUUCUCAGAAUCACAGGCUCACCAGUAUCAUGCAACAUCCUCGGUAUCAAAGAAAUUUACCCCUGCUCUGAUUGAAGUGGUCGAUGAUUUACUUGUUUUGUCGAAUGGUCACAUAUAUCCACUCUACAAGAAACAAAAGGGAGUGUUUUCUUGGAUACAAGAAUUUUUAAGUGUUUGCAGCAAAAUGUCUUUUUAUGAUGUUUUCAACUUAUAUCGGCUGUUCCCCCACCCCCUCUGUGUGUGUGUGUGUGAGUGUCCGCGCAUGAGAGAGAUAUAUGGGAGCUUGGUUGAAGCUGGUGUUGUGGCUAUAUACUAAACCAUAUGCUGUUUAUCUUUGCAGGUUCGAUGUGCCUUUUCAGAUUUGCUCUUUGUUGUUCAUGAUGACUUAACUAGACAGACUUUACAGGCAUACUUUGUAAUUGGUAGGUAACAUGCCCAGUAUAAUCCCACAAGUAGGGUCUGGGGAGGGUAGUGUGCACGCAGACCUUACCCCUACCUGGCGAGGUAGAGGCUGUUUCCAAUAGACUCUCGGCUCUAGAAAAGAUGAAAAGAGAGAGAAGGGAAGAAGACGAAGAAGAAAGAAAGAAAGAAUAGGGAGGCAAGGAUGAUAAGAAAAAGGAAAAAUAAAACACAACACAAACAAUAAGUAAAAGAAAAAGUAGCAUCAAAUAUAAACAAACCGGAAAAUAUGAAACACGGAGCGAACGAAACAAUAGGCAAAUACAAGAGGUCAAAGAAUACGAAAAAAAAACAAGAGCGCUACUAAUACUACUAGAAAAAAACGGGGAACUCCGAC
This 6199-nucleotide long non-coding RNA is filed under the name Nicotiana tabacum (common tobacco). RNAcentral's name for it is "long non-coding RNA (NTAB_LNC002120)". The record is from RNAcentral. Lineage: Eukaryota; Viridiplantae; Streptophyta; Magnoliopsida; Solanales; Solanaceae.